AGCAUUCUCUCUAUAGGCCACGUGCAAGUCAUCAAAAUCCUGCAUCCUGUAAAAGUUAAGAAAGUGAUCCUGAAAAUACAAACCAUUCAAAUCUUAGUCUCAAUGCAAAAUAUGAUAAAAUAAAAUAAAAAUCAAAUUAAAUAAAUGCAAAAAAGUAAAAUGAAAGAAAAACCAUGGGCUGCCUCCCACGCAGCGCUUGUUUAACGUCAAUAGCUUG
RNAcentral lists this long non-coding RNA (217 nucleotides) under Lathyrus oleraceus (garden pea). Its description in RNAcentral is "Pisum sativum (pea) long non-coding RNA (PSAT_LNC012563)". The record is from RNAcentral. Lineage: Eukaryota; Viridiplantae; Streptophyta; Magnoliopsida; Fabales; Fabaceae.